This 1429-nucleotide long non-coding RNA is filed under the name Piliocolobus tephrosceles (Ugandan red Colobus). RNAcentral's name for it is "lncRNA (ENSPTEG00000017612.1)". The record is from RNAcentral. Lineage: Eukaryota; Metazoa; Chordata; Mammalia; Primates; Cercopithecidae.
CAAAUAUUACUUUUACUAUCUAAAAACGUAAUUUGUUUCAUACGUUUUUUUUUUUAAAUCAAUAUUUUUAUAAAUCACAUCAUUACUUUUCGAUUUGACUAAAAAACAAUUUUUUGUAUUUACCGUCUGUGGUUUAUAUUUAUAAUUAACCUCCAUACAGCUCUUCGUACAGCUUUUCAUACUACUCUUCAUAUAAUUCAAAUUUUUUUUUUUUGUUUAAUACAUAUUUUAAAUUAAAAAAAGUGUUAUUAUUAUUUUUAUUACUUUUUUCUAUUUUUCCAGUGUCACUAUUAUUACCAUUGUUAUUACCACUGUCAUUACCACUGUCAUUGUCAUUAUCAAUAUUCGUGUUAUUACAUGGUUUACUUUGUUUACCGCCUUUAGUUGUCUUUUUCUCAUACUUAUAAUAUACAACAUGUUUGUUCUUUGUGUUUUUGCUUUUUAUAUCAUUAUAAAACAAACAACUUUUAAUAGUUUUGUCGUUUUCUUGUGUACUAUACAUAAUAAGAUCACUUUUAUAUUUACUACUGGGAUAAGUUUUAGUUUUAUGACAAUGUAAAAAUUUAGAAGAAGAAAAAGAAAAAUCAUUUCUUACAAAGUACGAUUUUUCAAUGUUAGAAGAAGUAUUUUUUUUUGUAUUUUCUUUGUCGGUACUUAAUAAUAGGCUAGAUUGUAUAUUACUGUUUUCUACAGAAGGAUUAAGAUGAUUUGUAGACGAUAUAAAAAUUUCAGAAAUACCUUUUUUAGUCUUAGGCGUUUUAAUAAUUUCUUUAGGAGUAAACUUAUAACAGCUACUACUACUACUACUACUACUGUAGUUUUUAUCAUUAUUUGAUUGUAGAUUUGAUGAUUCUGUUUUGGAGAGCAAAUAUAAUUUAUUUCUUAUUAUUUUAUUAUUAUCAUUCUGAUCUAAUUUUACAUUUUUAUUUUUAUAUUUAUACAUACUUUUUGUAAAAUCUGUGGUAAGACUAUACGUAUUUUUAGGACUUUCUUUUUUUAGAUAUAUUUGCUUUUCACUUACAAUUAAUCCAUUUUUUAACAUCUCUGUUUUAGUUUCUGUCAUUUUAUCAAAAUUAAUGUUAACCUUUUUUUUUUUUUUUUUCAAUUUAACAGCAGAAUUAACAGCAUAAUUAACAGCAGAAUUAACUAUAUUUUUCUUUUUUUUACUAUUCAACAUUUUUUCAUUAUUAUUUUUUACGUUUAAGCAGGUUUUUUUAGUUUUGCAAUCUUUAUUUUUUCUUUUAGAGUCCAUUUUGUUCGAAAUUAUUUUAUCUUCCCUGUCCUUUGUUUCCUUACCUCUUUUUUCCUUACCUAUUUUUUCCUUACCUAUUUUUUCCUUACCCCUUUUUCCCUUAUCCUUUUUGUCAUUGUUCUGUUCAUCCAUGCAUGUCCUAACUUCAAUUUCUUUUUCAUUUUUACCAAAAUCAGA